GACGAACGCUGGCGGCGUGCUUAACACAUGCAAGUCGAACGAUGAAGCCGGAGCUUGCUCUGGUGAAUUAGUGGCGAACGGGUGAGUAACACGUGAGUAACCUGCCCUUGACUCUGGGAUAACUGCUAGAAAUGGUAGCUAAUACCGGAUACGACCCUCGGCGGCAUCGCCAGGGGGUGGAAAGAAUUUCGGUCAAGGAUGGACUCGCGGCCUAUCAGCUAGUUGGUGAGGUAACGGCUCACCAAGGCGACGACGGGUAGCCGGCCUGAGAGGGUGACCGGCCACACUGGGACUGAGAUACGGCCCAGACUCCUACGGGAGGCAGCAGUGGGGAAUAUUGCACAAUGGGCGCAAGCCUGAUGCAGCGACGCCGCGUGAGGGAUGAAGGCCUUCGGGUUGUAAAGCUCUUUUGUCAGGGAAGAAACACCGGCUCUAACACAGUCUGGGAAUGACGGUACCUGAAGAAUAAGCACCGGCUAAC
This 481-nucleotide ribosomal RNA is filed under the name uncultured bacterium. Its description in RNAcentral is "partial 16S ribosomal RNA". It matches the Rfam family "Bacterial small subunit ribosomal RNA", at positions 28 to 501 of the family's 1533-position model. The record is from RNAcentral.